Molecule: unclassified non-coding RNA, 1771 nt
Filed under: Diabrotica virgifera virgifera (western corn rootworm)
Lineage: Eukaryota; Metazoa; Arthropoda; Insecta; Coleoptera; Chrysomelidae
Description: uncharacterized LOC126879723
Source: RNAcentral
GUCUAAAAAGGGGAUAUACUUGUACACCAGAUAAAAGGUUAUUUAAUCAGUAUAUUAUAAAAACACUAAAAAUCGCGUAAUAAGUAAAAAUAUGAUGUCAGAAGAUUUCCCAAGAAUAGAGGGUGUAAGAGAGGAGGGAGUUUAAGAAGUGGAAGUUUUUAUUAUUUAAUAAGUUUAUAGAUGACAUUAAAAACGAAACAAAAACAAAAACUAAGCUAGAGAUAAGGUACCUAAACCUACAAAACAGAAGCAAUACUAGCAUCGACAGAAGAAGAGAUCCAAAGAAGUGUAAUAAUCUGAUAUAAAGCUUUAAACAAAUUGGGUAAUGGAUAUAAAUCAAGAGAAAUCAAAAUUGAUGGUCAUAGCAAAACACAGAGAAUAUCUAAGUCCAGAUUGAAGAAACAAAACAUAAACAGGUGAAGACGUUUGAAUACUUAGGAAAGAUAGUUGAGGACACUGGCACACAAGACGUAGACAUAAAUAAAAGGAAAGAUAAGAAAAUCUUGUGCCAAUUCAAUGUUCCAAUAGUCUCUCCUCAGUAAUAUCUGUUGUGGACGUAAAAUACGUGAAGCAAAAAGUCGUCAUCUAGCCAAAGAGUGAAAUUGAAGGACUCGAAAAUAGAUACGACACGUUUUACAUGUAUAGAAAAGUGAAAGAAGUGGCUGGUAUCUUCAAUAAGAGACAAACUGCACUGCUACAUGAUGAACAUGGUGACAGAACGUAGCGACAGGUGUAGUGAUUGAAUUCGUUAUAGGAUGAAGAGGGUAAUUGUCUUUAUGGAUCUUUGGUACCUAAGCAAUAUAAAUUUGGAAAGCUUGCAUUAUAGAUAACUAAAGAGGUAAAAGGUUUAUAGUAACGUCAAACUAUGUGCAAUUUAAGCUUUAGUAUCUAAGCAAAAAUAUAAUGUAUUUUAAAAUCGCAUCAGUAGGCAAUUAAUGUUGUUCUGAAGCUAUUUCCUUGUGGCAUUUUUAUAUUCGACUAUUUUCAAUGGGAAAUAAGCCACAAUUUUUACUAAAAAAAAAAUGAUUUUAUUAACGUUUCGACGCCCAAGUCGGGUGUCGUAGUCAAAAUAUAAAAUAAUACUAAAUUAAACAAAAAUGUUGCUUAGUAAAAAAUUUUUCUAAUAAUUUAUUUAAUCUGACUCAUUUAUAUCGGCAAUUCAGACAUGCAUUAUACAAUUUAAAGUAGAAGACUUUAAAGUCUUCUACUUUAGAAUGAUAUUGCCAAUAGUGUUCCUGGGACGACUUUACUAAAAGAUAGUUCAUUUGAUUACAUGAAAUCAACCCAACUCAUGAAUAUCCACUUUUUUCCUGGUUUUCCUUCGUGAUUUACUAUGAAAUCUCUAGCGCGAGAAUUUUACCGCCACUGUUGCAUUUGGUUGUCUUUUUAAAGACAGAUCACAUGCUAUGAUUUUUGUGGGGGAUAUUCUUGAGUUGGGUUGAUUUCAUGUAAUCAAAUGAACUAUCUUUUAGUAAAGUCGUCCCAGGAACGCAACUCAUCAAUAUUGGCAAUAUCAUUUUAAAGUCUUCUACUUUAAAAUGUAUAAUACAUGUCUUAAUUGCCGAUAUAAACGAGUCAGAUUAAAUAAAUUAUAAAAGAAUUUUUUACUAAUCAACAAUAUUUUUGUUUAAUUUAGUAUUAUUUUUUUGGUAAAAUUGUGUCUUUUUUCCCAUUGAAAAUAGUUGAUUAGUAGGUAGUUUAUAUAGUGGUAAUCUACAACGUGCUGCUAUGUGCUAGUUUAUAUUUUAUUGAUUUCACUCCGUGAGUUUUA